AACUAAACAUAGUUUCACAACAGUUACAUCAUUGUUACCUACUCACGCUGCCCUCCGCGAUAGUGAGCGACCUCUCAUUGUGGAACGAGCGUCGAGAUUGUAGGACGAUUGUGUUAGUAAAAUGCGCGUGAUCCUAAUAAUUACUAUCAUCUCCACGUUAUUGUGGUGUGCGUGUGGUAGCAACUUCUUGGUAGGUAAUGUAGCGAACCGAGUGGACCUGAGACAUCACGAGCUGGUCCAGUACAACGCGAUACCAUUCAUAAAAAGAGUGAAAUAUUUCUUCUACACGGAUCCACAGAAUAAAGUGAUUGAAGGUAUACAAGCUUUGGACAACCUUCACAGCAAAUCUUCAAUCAACAUAACGGCGGGUGGCGUCGGAUCUACGUUUGUAAAUUUGAGGCUCAAAAGUGAAAGAGGAGGUGCUCUUGAUUACGAUAUUGGAAUCUAUGCACGUCCUGAUUUUAUUUAAGGAAAUAAUUAAUUAAAAAAAUAUAUAU
This is a long non-coding RNA of Vanessa tameamea, 497 nucleotides long. RefSeq lists it as uncharacterized. The transcript is spliced from 2 exons. The record is from RefSeq and is a predicted model, not a curated record. NCBI's taxonomy places the organism in Eukaryota, Metazoa, Arthropoda, Insecta, Lepidoptera, Nymphalidae.